AACGAACGCUGGCGGCAUGCCUAACACAUGCAAGUCGAACGAGACCUUCGGGUCUAGUGGCGCACGGGUGCGUAACGCGUGGGAACCUGCCCUUAGGUUCGGAAUAACUCCCCGAAAGGGGUGCUAAUACCGGAUAAUGUCUUCGGACCAAAGAUUUAUCGCCUUUGGAUGGGCCCGCGUUGGAUUAGCUAGUUGGUAGGGUAAAAGCCUACCAAGGCGACGAUCCAUAGCUGGUCUGAGAGGAUGAUCAGCCACACUGGGACUGAGACACGGCCCAGACUCAUACGGGAGGCAGCAGUGGGGAAUAUUGGACAAUGGGCGAAAGCCUGAUCCAGCAAUGCCGCGUGAGUGAUGAAGGCCUUAGGGUUGUAAAGCUCUUUUACCCGGGAUGAUAAUGACAGUACCGGGAGAAUAAGCUCCGGCUAACUCCGU
RNAcentral lists this ribosomal RNA (432 nucleotides) under uncultured bacterium. RNAcentral's name for it is "partial 16S ribosomal RNA". It matches the Rfam family "Bacterial small subunit ribosomal RNA", at positions 29 to 506 of the family's 1533-position model. The record is from RNAcentral.